GUUGUAUGGUUAAGUGACUAAGCGUACACGGUGGAUGCCUGGGCAGUCAGAGGCGAUGAAGGACGUACUAACUUGCGAUAAGCGCAGAUAAGGCAGUAAGAGCCGUUUGAGUCUGCGAUUUCCGAAUGGGGAAACCCAACUGCAUAAGCAGUUACUGUUAACUGAAUACAUAGGUUAACAGAGCAAACCGGGGGAACUGAAACAUCUAAGUACCCCGAGGAGAAGAAAUCAACCGAGAUUCCGGUAGUAGCGGCGAGCGAACCUGGAUUAGCCCUUAAGCACUCGGUGAAGUAGGUGAACAAGCUGGAAAGCUUGGCGAUACAGGGUGAUAGCCCCGUAACCGACGCUUCAUCGAGCGUGAAAUCGAGUAGGGCGGGACACGUGACAUCCUGUCUGAAUAUGGGGGGACCAUCCUCCAAGGCUAAAUACUCCUGACUGACCGAUAGUGAACCAGUACCGUGAGGGAAAGGCGAAAAGAACCCCUGUGAGGGGAGUGAAAUAGAACCUGAAACCGUGUACGUACAAGCAGUGGGAGCCCUUCGUGGUGUGACUGCGUACCUUUUGUAUAAUGGGUCAGCGACUUAUAUUCAGUGGCAAGGUUAACCGUAUAGGGGAGCCGUAGCGAAAGCGAGUCUUAACUGGGCGCUCAGUCUCUGGAUAUAGACCCGAAACCGGGUGAUCUAGCCAUGGGCAGGUUGAAGGUUGAGUAACAUCAACUGGAGGACCGAACCGACUAAUGUUGAAAAAUUAGCGGAUGACUUGUGGCUAGGGGUGAAAGGCCAAUCAAACUCGGAGAUAGCUGGUUCUCCCCGAAAGCUAUUUAGGUAGCGCCUCGGACGAAUACU
This 845-nucleotide ribosomal RNA is filed under the name Vibrio cholerae. RNAcentral's name for it is "bacterial LSU rRNA". It matches the Rfam family "Bacterial large subunit ribosomal RNA", at positions 1 to 894 of the family's 2925-position model. The record is from RNAcentral. Lineage: Bacteria; Pseudomonadati; Pseudomonadota; Gammaproteobacteria; Vibrionales; Vibrionaceae.